Alexandromys fortis (reed vole) is the source of this 631-nucleotide long non-coding RNA. RefSeq lists it as uncharacterized. The transcript has 3 exons. The record is from RefSeq and is a predicted model, not a curated record. NCBI's taxonomy places the organism in Eukaryota, Metazoa, Chordata, Mammalia, Rodentia, Cricetidae.
UAAAGUAUAGCCUCUAAAGUAUAGCCCCAAGGUUGGGCAAAGAGAAUUCUGGGAAAUGUAGUUUACUUAUUAUAGGAAUACCUUGCCAAGGAGUGGAGGAGUUUGGGGUUCUGGGAACUGUCUCACAGGAGAGAUACGAAACUUUCCAGGGCACCCCAGACUUGGCUGAAGGCAAGCCAUUUCUCCUGCUGCUGGCAAUGGCUCUCGGGCAGGACUUAAAGGCUCAAGGAAGCUGAGUGGACCACUAGAUCUUACCACGUUGUGCUUCUGGGGAGCAGAGCAAACUUCAGGAGUGCUGAGCGACCUCCAUAAACACCAAGUGACCUCUGGGGUGACAGGAACCGUGGCCCUGACUGCACCAUGAAGAGCAAACAUCUGAGUCUUGGAUCUGCUGGCACCUGGAAGAUUGAUCACCAGAGACACAGCUCUAACUACACCAAUCAGAGGAAAAGAUGGUAGACAAGGCACUGUGUUCUGAAGCCGAGAUUAUGUCUCUUCACCUCCAAGCGGAAUGAAACGGCCUUUAUUUGUAAAGGUCUAACUCACAAGGACAAACUUAGAGGCCAAAGCUUCUGUGUUUUAUUUGGUCUUAAAACUUUAAAUGGAUGCUCACAAUAAAAAAAUAAAUAAA